Molecule: long non-coding RNA, 712 nt
Organism: Manis pentadactyla (Chinese pangolin)
Lineage: Eukaryota; Metazoa; Chordata; Mammalia; Pholidota; Manidae
Exons: 2
Source: RefSeq, a predicted model, not a curated record
GUCUGGGUGACCAAGAGAUUGGAGGGGUGCUUCAAAUCUCUCCCCACGGGCCGCGCGAGCCGCCACGCAGCACCCCCACGGAGAAGCCGCCGUCCAGGCGGAGCUGCGCGUGAUGAGGGGUCUCGGGAGAGCUUCAUGGUCUUGGGACAUAACAGCUGCUGCCUGAUCUUCAGCCAUCUCUGAAGCCUCCGGCCCCAGCCUCCGGGAGCUGAACAGGACAAGGACGGGGAGCAGGAGAGAAACUGGAGUUGAAAUGGGUUGGGACUGAAUCACUAUACCCGUCUGAGGCUGGUCGGGCGGCCCUACUGCAGCCCCGUUCCUCCUCACCCAGCUGCACUUCCAUUUUCUUUAGCAUGUCACAUGCUGUCACAUUUACUUACUUAUUAUGGCUCUUAUUUACUGUCUUUCUCUUUCCCCUCGCCUCCCAGCGUGUAACUCCACAAGGGUCUCUGCUUUUAACCAAUGUUUCCCUAGUGUCUAGAAUUACACCGUCACUUGGGCAGCCCCUCACUGCACGUGGCCACUUAACCUUAGCUAACUUACAGUGAAAUAAAGAUUCAGAGGUUCAGUUGCAUUGGCAUGUGGCGCGUGGCUACCACAUUGGGCAGGACAGACAGGGAACAUUUCGUUAUCGCCCUCAGCUGUACUGAACACCGCUGAUCUAGAACAGCAGCUGGCAUGUGUGGUGUUCAAUAAAUAUUUGUAGAACAAA